Molecule: ribosomal RNA, 497 nt
Filed under: uncultured bacterium
Lineage: Bacteria
Description: partial 16S ribosomal RNA
Rfam family: Bacterial small subunit ribosomal RNA
Source: RNAcentral
GACGAACGCUGGCGGCGUGCCUAAUACAUGCAAGUUGAGCGCUGAAGGUUGGUACUUGUACCAACUGGAUGAGCAGCGAACGGGUGAGUAACGCGUGGGGAAUCUGCCUUUGAGCGGGGGACAACAUUUGGAAACGAAUGCUAAUACCGCAUAAAAACUUUAAACACAAGUUUUAAGUUUGAAAUAUGCAAUUGCAUCACUCAAAGAUGAUCCCUCUUUGUAUUAGCUAGUUGGUGAGGUAAAGGCUCACCAAGGCGAUGAUACAUAGCCGACCUCAGAGGGUAAUCGGCCACAUUGGGACUGAGACACGGCCCAAACUCCUACGAGAGGCAGCAGUAGGGAAUAUUCGGCAAUGGACGAAAGUCUGACCGAGCAACGCCGCGUGAGUGAAGAAGGUUUUCGGAUCGUAAAACUCUGUUGGUAGAGAAGAACGUUGGUGAGAGUGGAAAGCUCAUCAAGUGACGGUAACUACCCAGAAAGGGACGGCUAACUCCGUG